RNAcentral lists this ribosomal RNA (330 nucleotides) under uncultured Bacillota bacterium. Its description in RNAcentral is "bacterial SSU rRNA". It matches the Rfam family "Bacterial small subunit ribosomal RNA", at positions 28 to 351 of the family's 1533-position model. Lineage: Bacteria; Bacillati; Bacillota. The record is from RNAcentral.
GACGAACGCUGGCGGCGUGCCUAACACAUGCAAGUCGAACGGAGUAUAUUGGGAGCUUGCUCUCAAUAUACUUAGUGGCGGACGGGUGAGUAACACGUGAGUAACCUGCCGAGAAGAGUGGGAUAACACAGCGAAAGCUGUGCUAAUACCGCAUAUUGUGCCGAAACCGCAUGGUUUUGGCAUGAAAGAUUUAUCGCUUCUUGAUGGACUCGCGUCUGAUUAGAUAGUUGGUGAGGUAAUGGCUCACCAAGUCUACGAUCAGUAGCCGGACUGAGAGGUUGAACGGCCACAUUGGGACUGAGACACGGCCCAGACUCCUACGGGAGGCAG